UACGUAGGGAGCAAGCGUUAUCCGGAUUUAUUGGGUGUAAAGGGCGCGUAGACGGUUGGAUAAGUUAGUUGUGAAAUACCUGUGCUUAACGCAGGAAGUGCAACUAAAACUGUCUUACUUGAGUAUGGGAGAGGAAAGCGGAAUUCCUAGUGUAGCGGUGAAAUGCGUAGAUAUUAGGAGGAACAUCAGUGGCGAAGGCGGCUUUCUGGACCAAAACUGACGUUGAGGCGCGAAAGUGUGGGGAGCAAACAGGAUUAGAUACCCUGGUAGUCCACACUGUAAACGAUGGAUACUAGGUGUAGGAUGGAUUAAACCGUUCUGUGCCGGCGCAAACGCAAUAAGUAUCCCACCUGAGUAGUACGACCGCAAGGUUAAA
Molecule: ribosomal RNA, 376 nt
Filed under: uncultured bacterium
Lineage: Bacteria
Description: bacterial SSU rRNA
Rfam family: Bacterial small subunit ribosomal RNA
Source: RNAcentral